UACGAAGGGGGCUAGCGUUGCUCGGAAUCACUGGGCGUAAAGCGCACGUAGGCGGACUCUUAAGUCGGUGGUGAAAUCCUGGAGCUCAACUCCAGAACUGCCUUCGAUACUGGGAGUCUCGAGUUCGGGAGAGGUGAGUGGAACUGCGAGUGUAGAGGUGAAAUUCGUAGAUAUUCGCAAGAACACCAGUGGCGAAGGCGGCGACCUGGGUCGACACUGACGCUGAGGCGCGAAAGCGUGGGGAGCAAACAGG
This 253-nucleotide ribosomal RNA is filed under the name uncultured bacterium. RNAcentral describes it as "partial 16S ribosomal RNA". It matches the Rfam family "Bacterial small subunit ribosomal RNA", at positions 524 to 776 of the family's 1533-position model. The record is from RNAcentral.